This 334-nucleotide unclassified non-coding RNA is filed under the name soil metagenome. Its description in RNAcentral is "partial contains 5.8S ribosomal RNA, internal transcribed spacer 2, and large subunit ribosomal RNA". The stretch from base 1 to 120 matches the Rfam family "5.8S ribosomal RNA", at positions 35 to 154 of the family's 154-position model. The record is from RNAcentral.
GAUGAAGAACGUAGCGAAAUGCGAUACGUAAUGUGAAUUGUAGAAUUCAGUGAAUCAUCGAAUCUUUGAACGCACAUUGCGCCUGCCAGCACUCUGGCAGGCAUGCCUGUUCGAGCGUCAUUUCAACCAUCAAGCCCUAGGCUUGCGUUGGAGCCCUGCGGCUGCCGCAGGCCCCUAAAAGCAGUGGCGGGCUCGCUAUCACACCGAGUGCAGUAGAUUACUCUUCGCUCAGGGCGUGUGGCGGGUUCCAGCCGUGAAACCCCCUACUUCUCAAGGUUGACCUCGGAUCAGGUAGGAAUACCCGCUGAACUUAAGCAUAUCAAUAAGCGGAGGA